Molecule: ribosomal RNA, 309 nt
Filed under: uncultured bacterium
Lineage: Bacteria
Description: bacterial SSU rRNA
Rfam family: Bacterial small subunit ribosomal RNA
Source: RNAcentral
GACGAACGCUGGCGGCGUGCUUAACACAUGCAAGUCGAGGGCACUAUUGGGGCAACCUGGUAGUGACCGGCGAACGGGUGCGUAACACGUGAGCGACCUUGCCUCGUGGUGGGGGAUAGGCCGGCCCAACGGCCGGGUAAUACCGCAUAUGGUAGUUUCUUCGCAUGAGGAGACUAGCAAAGCCUUGGAGCAAUCCAAUGGCGCCACAGGGGGGGCUCGCGGCCUAUCAGCAGUUGGGGGGUAAUGGCCCACCAAGGCGACGACGGGUAGCUGGUCUGAGAGGAUGGCCAGCCACAUUGGGACUGAGAG